RNAcentral lists this ribosomal RNA (207 nucleotides) under uncultured bacterium. RNAcentral's name for it is "partial 16S ribosomal RNA". It matches the Rfam family "Bacterial small subunit ribosomal RNA", at positions 568 to 774 of the family's 1533-position model. The record is from RNAcentral.
CUCGUAGGCGGUUCGUCGCGUCCGGUGUGAAAGUCCAUCGCUUAACGGUGGAUCCGCGCCGGGUACGGGCGGGCUUGAGUGCAGUAGGGGAGACUGGAAUUCCCGGUGUAACGGUGGAAUGUGUAGAUAUCGGGAAGAACACCAAUGGCGAAGGCAGGUCUCUGGGCCGUCACUGACGCUGAGGAGCGAAAGCGUGGGGAGCGAACA